GGGUUGUGAGGUUAAGCGACUAAGCGUACACGGUGGAUGCCCUGGCAGUCAGAGGCGAUGAAGGACGUGCUAAUCUGCGAUAAGCGUCGGUAAGGUGAUAUGAACCGUUAUAACCGGCGAUUUCCGAAUGGGGAAACCCAGUGUGAUUCGUCACACUAUCAUUAACUGAAUCCAUAGGUUAAUGAGGCGAACCGGGGGAACUGAAACAUCUAAGUACCCCGAGGAAAAGAAAUCAACCGAGAUUCCCCCAGUAGCGGCGAGCGAACGGGGAGCAGCCCAGAGCCUGAAUCAGUGUGUGUGUUAGUGGAAGCGUCUGGAAAGGCGUGCGAUACAGGGUGACAGCCCCGUACACAAAAAUGCACAUACUGUGAGCUCGAUGAGUAGGGCGGGACACGUGGUAUCCUGUCUGAAUAUGGGGGGACCAUCCUCCAAGGCUAAAUACUCCUGACUGACCGAUAGUGAACCAGUACCGUGAGGGAAAGGCGAAAAGAACCCCGGCGAGGGGAGUGAAAAAGAACCUGAAACCGUGUACGUACAAGCAGUGGGAGCACGCUUAGGCGUGUGACUGCGUACCUUUUGUAUAAUGGGUCAGCGACUUAUAUUCUGUAGCAAGGUUAACCGAAUAGGGGAGCCGAAGGGAAACCGAGUCUUAACUGGGCGUUAAGUUGCAGGGUAUAGACCCGAAACCCGGUGAUCUAGCCAUGGGCAGGUUGAAGGUUGGGUAACACUAACUGGAGGACCGAACCGACUAAUGUUGAAAAAUUAGCGGAUGACUUGUGGCUGGGGGUGAAAGGCCAAUCAAACCGGGAGAUAGCUGGUUCUCCCCGAAAGCUAUUUAGGUAGCGCCUCGUGAAUUCAUCUCCGGGGGUAGAGCACUGUUUCGGCAAGGGGGUCAUCCCGACUUACCAACCCGAUGCAAACUGCGAAUACCGGAGAAUGUUAUUACGGGAGACACACGGCGGGUGCUAACGUCCGUC
Molecule: ribosomal RNA, 977 nt
Filed under: Shigella flexneri
Lineage: Bacteria; Pseudomonadati; Pseudomonadota; Gammaproteobacteria; Enterobacterales; Enterobacteriaceae
Description: partial 23S ribosomal RNA
Rfam family: Bacterial large subunit ribosomal RNA
Source: RNAcentral